This is a long non-coding RNA of Leptopilina heterotoma, 1321 nucleotides long. RefSeq lists it as uncharacterized. Lineage: Eukaryota; Metazoa; Arthropoda; Insecta; Hymenoptera; Figitidae. The record is from RefSeq and is a predicted model, not a curated record. The transcript is spliced from 3 exons.
AAUCAGUUAGAUUUCACUGAUUCAAAUGUAGAGUGUUUAUCUUUCUUGGAAGCACGACGCAUAUAUUUAUAUUACAAAAAAUGGAAUUGUCUUUAAAUAAUUUUCCCAAAAAAAAGACUUCUGUUUAUUUUCUUCUCUCCAUUUGUUUCUCGUUUUUGAAAUCCAUUGACAACUUAUGAAUUCAGCAUGAAAAUUGAAAAGAACUGAAAACAUUAAUUUUCCCGGUAAAGAAAAAAAUGAUAAUUUGCAAUUUUGAAAUUAUUUUUUGACGGGCUCAAAAAUACCUUAUAAAAUGACGCUACUGCGAAAAACCGCCCCUCUUCCUUCUCACCAUCCCCUGUAUCACCUCCCCGCCUCCUACUAUGAAGCGUUCCCCACCGUUAACGCUUCUUAUAACUACUUCUCUCUCGCUCUCACACUUGCGCGCGCGCUCUUGUUUGUUCUCUUUUCUGUUCUUAAACGUCGACAGAACAACUUAGGGCCGCGAACCUUUCGCUCCACGCUGUUAUUCCGGUAUUUUCAAAUAUCAUUAAUUAAACGCCGCGAACGUUUAAUUCGUGUUCAAUCAUUGUUGUUAUUGUUAUUGUUUCUCUCGCCAAUAAAAAAGAGACAAAGUGUUGUUACUCCAAAAAAAUAAAAAAAAAAAAAAAAAAAAAAAAAAAGAGUUGGCAGUGAGUGUGCGCCUUUUAUUUUUUUUGUUUUUUGCGUCGUGAGUCAAUUUUUUGUUUGUUAUUGUUGUUAACAUUUCUCCUUCUUUCACAAUAAAAAGAAGCAUCAGGAAAAACAAGGAAAAUAAAUGACGCGCCGUGGCUGUGCCGGUGUUUUAUUUAGUGGAUUCUUAAUGAAAAUUUCUCCUCUAUGGAACUCUGGAACGACGCCGGUAUUAUUUCAUUAGAGUGGAGACUGCAACCACGCCGAAAAUAUAUAGUAGAUAGAUAGUGAGAGAUAGAGAAAGAAGGAAGGAGAGUGAAAAAGAGUGUGUGAAAAACCCUCGUGCGUGAGUGAGCGUCAUCCAACAAUAAAAAAAAAGAAAAAAAAAAUAAUAAUCGAGAGGAAAAAAAACGAAAAAGCAGUGGUUCUUUUAUUGGCGAAAAAAUUUUAUAAACUUUUAUAGCAGGCGUGUGUAUCGAUGAGCCUCUCCUCUCGUCUCCACUUUGUUCUGCAUUGUGGUAUGGGUCCAAUGCCAGAAGAACUAUAGCUUUCAUCGUGAAGAUUUAGAGAGAAUUUUUUUUUUUUUAUAAAAAUGAGUAAUAAUUUUCGUAAUAAUAAUUUGAUGUUUUGAUGUGUUCAAUAUUUAUGUGAAAAAUAUAAUAUAAUUUGU